Molecule: ribosomal RNA, 1327 nt
Filed under: metagenome
Description: bacterial LSU rRNA
Rfam family: Bacterial large subunit ribosomal RNA
Source: RNAcentral
AGUGGAUGGGGAGCAACCUAGUUGUGCGUGUGUAAAGGUAGUGCCAAGAAAAGCGAUGAUCAUGUUGAAAAUCAAUUCCCGGUACCCGAAACCGACACAGGUGGGCAAGUAGAGAAUACUAAGGGGCGCGAGGUAACUCUCUCCAAGGAACUCGGCAAAAUGACCCCGUAACUUAGGGAGAAGGGGUGCCACCGAGAGGUGGUCGCAGUGAAGAGGCCCAGGCGACUGUUUAGCAAAAACAUAGGUCUCUGCAAACUCGAAAGAGGAGGUAUAGGGGCUGACGCCUGCCCAGUGCCGGAAGGUUAAAGAAGUUGGUCAGUCUUAGGAUGAAGCUAGCGACUGAAGCCCCGGUGAACGGCGGCCGUAACUAUAACGGUCCUAAGGUAGCGAAAUUCCUUGUCGGGUAAGUUCCGACCCGCACGAAAGGCGUAACGAUCUGGGCGCUGUCUCGGAGAGAGGCUCGGCGAAAUAGGAUUGUCUGUGAAGAUACGGACUACCCGCAUUUGGACAGAAAGACCCUAUGAAGCUUUACUAUAGCUUGGAAUUGUGUUCGGGCUUCCUGUGCGCAGGAUAGGUGGGAGGCGUAGAAGGUAUUCUUGUGGGGAUACUGGAGCCAACGGUGAGAUACCACUCUCAGGAGGCUAGAAUUCUAACUUAAUUAAGGACAGUUUCAGGUGGGUAGUUUGACUGGGGCGGUCGCCUCCAAAAAGGUAACGGAGGCGUACAAAGGUUCCCUCAGACUGGUUGGAAAUCAGUCGAAGAGUGCAAAGGCAGAAGGGAGCUUGACUGCGAGAAGUACAGUUCGAGCAGGGUGGAAACACGGUCUUAGUGAUCCGACGGUGCUGUGUGGAAGGGCCGUCGCUCAACGGAUAAAAGUUACUCUAGGAUAACAGGCUGAUCUCCCCCAAGAGUUCACAUCGACGGGGAGGUUUGGCACCUCGAUGUCGGCUCAUCGCAACCUGGGGCGGAAGUACGUCCCAAGGGUUGGGCUGUUCGCCCAUUAAAGCGGUACGUGAGCUGGGUUCAGAACGUCGUGAGACAGUUCGGUCCAUAUCCGAUGUAGGCGUGAGAAUAUUGAGAGGAGCCUUCCUUAGUACGAGAGGACCGGGAAGGACGCACCGCUGGUGUACCUGUUAUGAUGCCAAUUGUAAACGCAGGGUAGCCAAGUGCGGAGAGGAUAACCGCUGAAAGCAUCUAAGUGGGAAGCCCACCUCAAGAUGAGUAUUCUGGUGUAAGGUCACGGGAAGACGACCCGUAAAUAGGCACGAGGUGGAAGUGCAGAGAUGUAUGAAGCCGAAGUGUACUAAUAGACCGUCGGCUUGACCAG